GACGAACGCUGGCGGCGUGCUUAACACAUGCAAGUCGAACGGAAAGGCCCUGCUUUUGUGGGGUGCUCGAGUGGCGAACGGGUGAGUAACACGUGAGUAACCUGCCCUUGACUUUGGGAUAACUUCAGGAAACUGGGGCUAAUACCGGAUAGGACCUCCUGCGGCAUGGGGGGGGUUGGAAAGUUUCGGCGGUUGGGGAUGGACUCGCGGCUUAUCAGCUUGUUGGUGGGGUAGUGGCUUACCAAGGCUUUGACGGGUAGCCGGCCUGAGAGGGUGACCGGCCACAUUGGGACUGAGAUACGGCCCAGACUCCUACGGGAGGCAGCAGUGGGGAAUAUUGCACAAUGGGCGGAAGCCUGAUGCAGCAACGCCGCGUGCGGGAUGACGGCCUUCGGGUUGUAAACCGCUUUCGCCUGUGACGAAGCGUGAGUGACGGUAAUGGGUAAAGAAGCACCGGCUAACUACGUG
Molecule: ribosomal RNA, 468 nt
Filed under: uncultured bacterium
Lineage: Bacteria
Description: partial 16S ribosomal RNA
Rfam family: Bacterial small subunit ribosomal RNA
Source: RNAcentral